RNAcentral lists this unclassified non-coding RNA (175 nucleotides) under Cyanophora sudae. RNAcentral's name for it is "internal transcribed spacer 1". Lineage: Eukaryota; Glaucocystophyceae; Cyanophorales; Cyanophoraceae. The record is from RNAcentral.
ACACUGUAUCCAAUAUACCUUGUGAACCGUUCUGUUCGGGUGCCAGUUGUCGGCGCUCGCAUACCUUUAUGGUAUGCUUGUUUCCGACGACUGGUGCCGUAUCACUUCACACCCAUUUCAUACCUUUGACUGAAUCUCUGCUAGUGACGCAAGUCCUGGCAAAUCUAAUUAAAAA